This 620-nucleotide small RNA is filed under the name Arabidopsis thaliana (thale cress). Its description in RNAcentral is "ATSL285050". The record is from RNAcentral. Lineage: Eukaryota; Viridiplantae; Streptophyta; Magnoliopsida; Brassicales; Brassicaceae.
UUUGGACCAAUCUGCAAAACAGAGAAGAUUCGUUGAUCAAUGACAGAUAGAGAAAUCGAUGGAAAUACAUGAACGAAGAAAGAAACUAGAGAGAAGAACUAAAGAGGAAUCUCCAUGAUCAUGAUGAUCAUCAUCUUCAUCGUUGUCAGGUCCUACUUUCUUUCUAAAAAGUUGUAUAGAGAAAGAGAGAGAGAUGGGAAAUUUUGUGCAUUGAAAGAGAAUUUAAUUUUAAAAUUUGUAAGAUUUUUUUUUCCUUUCUUUAAAAUAUAAUUUUGACUUCUCCUUGACGAUGUCCUUUUCUAGAGUGUCCACACUCCGUAGAGAUUUGGUGAUGCCCAAACUCAUAAGCUACUUGACUCUAACUAAAGUACACAACACAAUGACAAAUUUUCAGCUUACCAAGCUCAUAGACAAGCAAGUCAUCAGUCGUAGAAUCUCAACGAUUCGAUUCCAGGCAUGGGAGAUGUUCGAUUUGGUAAAACGAUGGAGAGGUUUGAAACUAGUUAAUCUAUUUUUUUUUUAAAAACAACUUAAAAAAAAUAAAAAAAUAAUCAGCUUCAAAAAUAGUCAUAGCAAUCUUUUAAACAAGGUGCAUUCAUUGCACAAAAUGUUCUUUUUGA